AGGUAAUCGCCGAAGAUAUUUAGCGUAUCACUAGGUUGUUUUGCCAAAGUUGACCGAACUUGAUGAUUGAGAGGAAAUAAAAGUCGUAACAAGGUUUCCGUAGGUGAACCUGCGGAAGGAUCAUUA
RNAcentral lists this ribosomal RNA (126 nucleotides) under Simulium quinquestriatum. RNAcentral describes it as "partial 18S ribosomal RNA". It matches the Rfam family "Eukaryotic small subunit ribosomal RNA", at positions 1704 to 1831 of the family's 1831-position model. The record is from RNAcentral. Lineage: Eukaryota; Metazoa; Arthropoda; Insecta; Diptera; Simuliidae.